RNAcentral lists this ribosomal RNA (3766 nucleotides) under Thermodesulfobacterium geofontis. RNAcentral describes it as "23S ribosomal RNA". It matches the Rfam family "Bacterial large subunit ribosomal RNA". The record is from RNAcentral. Lineage: Bacteria; Pseudomonadati; Thermodesulfobacteriota; Thermodesulfobacteria; Thermodesulfobacteriales; Thermodesulfobacteriaceae.
GCCAAGCUACUAAGGGCUGGCGGUGGAUGCCUCGGGUGCGGGAGGCGAUGAAGGGCGUGGUAAGCUGCGAUAAGCCCCGGGGAGUCGCACACAGGCGUUGAUCCGGGGAUGCCCGAAUGGGGAAACCCGGCUGGGGUAAUACCCAGUCAUCCAUGGGUUAAAAGCCUAUGGAGGCAAUACCAGGGGAAGUGAAACAUCUCAGUACCCUGAGGAAAAGAAAUCAACCGAGAUUCCCCGAGUAGCGGCGAGCGAAAGGGGAGGAGCCUAAACCAAGCAGGUGUUAAAGCCCGUGGGCGUUGCCUGCUUGGGGUCGUGGGACUAUGCUGGAGAGGUCCACGGACCUCUCGGGGAGUUACAAAACUGUCUUCUUAGCUGAAGGCGCCUGGAAUGGCCCGCCAGAGAGGGUGAAAGCCCCGUAGGCGAAAAGAAGACAGUCUCCCUGGGCAUAGAUCCCAAGUAGCACGGGACACGUGGAAUCCCGUGUGAAUCAGGGGGGACCACCCUCCAAGGCUAAAUACUACCCGCACACCGAUAGCGCAAUAGUACCGUGAGGGAAAGGUGAAAAGAACCCCGGGAGGGGAGUGAAAUAGAACCUGAAACCGCCAGCCUACAAGCAGUCGGAGGGAAGAGGUAACUCUUCCUGACGGCGUGCCUUUUGCAUAAUGAGCCCGGGAGUUACCGUUGGUGGCAAGGCUAAGCCGUUUAGGCGGAGCCGUAGCGAAAGCGAGUCCGAAAAGGGCGCCCAGUCGCCAGCGGUAGACCCGAAGCGGGACGAUCUACCCAUGGCCAGGGUGAAGGUGGGUUAAACCCCACUGGAGGCCCGAACCGAUGGAGGGUGAAAACUCCUCGGAUGAGCUGUGGGUAGGAGUGAAAAGCUAAUCGAGUCCCGUGAUAGCUGGUUCUCCCCGAAAUGCAUUGAGGUGCAGCCUCGGGUGGUCGCUGCCGGGGGUAGAGCACUGUUUGGGCUAGGGGGCUUACCGGUCUACCAAACCCAGGCAAACUCCGAAUACCGGCAAGCGUAACCCGGGAGUGAGUCUUAGGGCGAUAACGUCCUAAGUCGAGAGGGCAAGAACCCAGACCGCCAGCUAAGGUCCCCAAGUUCUGGCUAAGUGGUAAAGGAGGUGCCCCUGCUUAGACACCCAGGAUGUUGGCUUAGAAGCAGCCAUCAUUUAAAGAGUGCGUAAUAGCUCACUGGGCGAGCGGGGGUGCGCCGAAAAUUACACGGGGCUUAAGCCAGACACCGAAGCUGCGGGCUGAAAGACUUAAAGUCUUUCAGCGGUAGGGGAGCACUCUGGUUGCUGAUGAAGGUAGAUCGACAAGGUCUACUGGAGGUACCAGAGGAGAGAAUCCGGGCACGAGUAGCGAUAAGGAGGGUGAGAAUCCCUCCCGCCGUAAGCCCAAGGUUUCCUGGGGAAGGGUCGUCCGCCCAGGGUUAGCCGGCCCCUAACCUGAGGCCGAAAGGCGUAGGGGAUGGGAAGUGGGGUUAAUAUUCCCCUGCCACCAGGGUGGAGACCAAGGGGUGACGCAGGAGGAAAGGGCUCCGGGGCUAAAUGGUUAGCCCUCCAAACCUUUAGCCCGAUGAUGGGCAGAGGCAAAUCCCUGCCCGGAGGGUGAGGGGGAGUAAGUAACCGAGAGCUACGGCUCUCGGGAAGGAGCUCGGACCACACUGCCAAGAAAUAACCUCGUGGUCGUUGAAACCCUGGUGACCGUACCGCAAACCGACACAGGUGGGCGGGCAGAAUAUGCUCAGGCGCGUGGGGUAACCCUGGCUAAGGAACUCGGCAAAUUAGCCCCGUAACUUCGGGAGAAGGGGUGCCCGCAUUAGGUGUAAGUCCUUGCGACUGAAGCCGAAGCGGGUUGCAGGGAAGCGGCGGUGGCGACUGUUUACCAAAAACACAGGGCUCUGCUAACUCGUAAGAGGACGUAUAGGGCCUGACGCCUGCCCGGUGCUGGAAGGUGAAGGGGUGGGGUCAGCGGAAGGAUAUUCUUUCCGUAAAGCUCUGCCCUUAAGCCCCAGUAAACGGCGGCCGUAACUAUAACGGUCCUAAGGUAGCGAAAUUCCUUGUCGGGUAAGUGAAGGACUUGCCCGUGUCCGGCUCAUAUCGGGGGAGCCCUCCUACCCUUGAAAAAGGGUGUGGGGUAAUCCCGAGGGAAGCUCACGGCUCGUGAGGGUCGUGAAGCCCCGUAACGACUGACCCGAAAGGGGAGGCACACCCUUUGAUCUAAACUAAAAACUAUAGGGUGUGCAAUACGCCGGCCGUGGCCCGUGGGGAUAGUUCCUCACGCAGAAAGGCCUAUGGAGGUUAAGUGUUAUGUUAGAUCCUUGGUAUGUGACAGGAUUGACUGAAGGAGAAGGUUCUUUUAGUGUUAGUUUUACCUUGCGGGAUAGAUUUAAAGUAGGAAUUGAGACAAGACCCUCUUUUUCCAUUUCUCUGAACAGAAGAGACCUUGAAUUAAUAAAGGAGAUUCAAAAAUUUUUUGGAUGCGGAGGGAUUAGAUUUUCUCGAAAGGAUAAUUGUUAUAAAUUUGAGGUUCGGUCUGUGGGGGAUCUUGUAAGAAGAAUAAUUCCCCACUUUGAAAAUUAUCCCUUGCAAGGAAGCAAGGCUAAAAGUUUUGAAGGUUUUAAGAAAAUUUGUAAGAUGCUGAGAGCAAACCUUCAUCUUUCACCGGUUCAUUUAAGGGAGAUCAUUGAAAUUGCUUAUGAGAUGAACCUCUCGGGGAAGAGGAGAUAUAAUAAGGAAGACCUCCUAAGGGUCUUGGCCACGAGAAGGUAUAGUCUACCCCUUACCGAAAGGUAAGAUAAGGGUGAAGUUCCGACCUGCAUGAAUGGCGUAACGACUGCCGCGCUGUCUCAGCCAGGGGCCCAGCGAAACUGUAGUCUCGGCGAAGAUGCCGGGUACCCGCGGUGGGACGGAAAGACCCCGUGGAGCUUUACUGCAGCUUGGCAUUGAAUCUUGGGGUAGGAUGUGCAGGAUAGGUGGGAGGCUGUGAAGCGGGGGCGCCAGCUCCCGUGGAGCCAUCGGUGAGAUACCACCCUUCCUGCCUCAGGGUUCUAACCUGCGGAAGUUAGCCUUCCGAGGGACAGUGCCUGGUGGGCAGUUUGACUGGGGCGGUCGCCUCCUAAAGAGUAACGGAGGCGCCCAAAGGUCCCCUCAGGUGGUAUGGAAAUCCACCGUUGAGUGUAAGGGCAUAAGGGGGCUUGACUGCGAGGCUGACAAGCCGAGCAGGGGGGAAACCCGGGCCUAGUGACCCGGCGGUCCUGAGUGGAAGGGCCGUCGAUCAACGGAUAAAAGUUACCCCGGGGAUAACAGGCUGAUCGCUCCCAAGAGUUCACAUCGACGGAGCGGUUUGGCACCUCGAUGUCGGCUCAUCCCAUCCUGGGGCUGGAGAAGGUCCCAAGGGUCGGGCUGUUCGCCCGUUAAAGGGGUACGUGAGCUGGGUUCAGAACGUCGUGAGACAGUUCGGUCCCUAUCCACCGCGGGCGUAGGAGGCUUGAGGGGAGCUGCCCCUAGUACGAGAGGACCGGGGUGGACGCACCUCUGGUGGCCCGGUUGUUCCACCAGGAGCACAGCCGGGUAGCCAUGUGCGGAAGGGAUAACCGCUGAAAGCAUCUAAGCGGGAAGCCCACCCCAAGAUUAGGCCUCCCGAGGGUGGGGUAACCCACCCCCUGAAGGGUCCGGGGAGAACACCCGGUUGAUAGGCCGGAGGUGGAAGCCCAGCAAUGGGUGGAGCCGACCGGUACUAAUCACCCGUGCGGCUUGGCUGC